UUAAUCGAAGCCAAAAAGAGGCCUACCACUGUUAAUGGUAGUACUGAUUCUAUACAAUCCGAUUAAA
This 67-nucleotide transfer RNA is filed under the name Canthesancus helluo. Its description in RNAcentral is "tRNA-Asn". The record is from RNAcentral. Lineage: Eukaryota; Metazoa; Arthropoda; Insecta; Hemiptera; Reduviidae.